This 1666-nucleotide long non-coding RNA is filed under the name Betta splendens (Siamese fighting fish). RNAcentral's name for it is "lncRNA (ENSBSLG00000000676.1)". Lineage: Eukaryota; Metazoa; Chordata; Actinopteri; Anabantiformes; Osphronemidae. The record is from RNAcentral.
CUCUUCCUUCAGCUAAUCUAAUAGCGAAAAAACACACGAUCACAGAGUCAGACUCAGUUACGCUGCAUUGUCAGACUCCAUCAUCUAUUGCUGUGGAUCAGUGUUAUUUCUAUACUGAUCGAGGACAAACUCCUAAAAUCUUCCCCUGCCUGCAGACACUGACAGGAACUGAUCUACUGUCUAUGUCACAGCAGCGUCCACCUGCUAAUGUUGAAGUCAAGUGUUUUUAUACUGUAAAGUAUAAAGACUCACGUUCUCCGUCUCCACACAGUGACUCAGUCUCCAUCGCUGUACACAGUAAGCAGCUGCCUUUAGAUUUGAUGGGAUUGAUUGUUCCCCUUGAAUCACAGUAAAAACAUUUUCAGUAGUGACAAUCUGACCUGAAUAAUUUAAGCAUAAUGUGCUUGAUACCAGAAUUAAAAAUAUAUUUAUUGUCUUUAUGUUUUGAAGGUGAAAAGCCACAGAUGAGCUGUUCUGAUUUGGGUGACCACACUGUUUUCGCUUGCUCUUUGCCUGAAUCUGUUGAACAUGGUACAAAAUGUAACUUGUACAUUGGAGAAGCACAUCAUCCAGUCUCAACAACACCAAUCAUGAAGAAAACCACUUCAAGAAAACAGCAGUUGUGUCAGUUUUAUAUCACGAGAGACGAUUUGCUGAAACUCCUACAAUCAGUUCAGCUAAAGGAGGCCAGCUGUGAUUACAGCCUGGAACAUGAACCCAACUUUGCUUCUGCUCGUAGUGAUGGAUGCAGCUUGACUGAUUCAUUUUCUGGUAUAAAAACACAAGGUCUGGUUCCACCUGAACUGACAGUGACUCCACUGGUGAUCACAGAGUCAGACUCAGUCACUGUGAACUGUCAGACUCCAUCAUCUGUUCCUGUCUAUCAGUGUUGGCUCUACUCAGUGAGGGAUCAAACCUCCAGAGUCGUCUCUUGUCAUCAGACACUGACAGGAACUGAGCUGAUGAAAAUGACUCAUCAAAGUUCACCUGCUGAUAUUGAAGUUACAUGUUAUUACACUGUGGAGCAAAGAGGAACUAAAUCUCAAUCUCCACUUAGUAACUCUAUCAUCAUACAGAGUAAGUAGCUACUGGGAUAUGUUUUAUUACAGCUUAUUACAAUAUCAACUGUAACUCAACACAACCACAUCUGUUCCUUCACAUGCUUCAAGUUGCAGACAGAGUUAUAAAACCAAUGAUGAACCAGAUGCUGUUCCAGUGUUUUAUGUUUGUCUUACAUUAAAUAUAUAUUUCUUUGUAUAUUAAACCUAUUUUUAUGGAUUAUGAACCGAUUACUUUCAGGUCUGGUUCCACCUGAGCUGACCGUGACUCCACUGGUGAUCACAGAGUCAGACUCAGUCACUGUGAACUGUCAGACUCCAUCAUCUGUUCCUCUGAGUCAGUGUUACUUUAACUUUGGUAAAGACAAACCUGCCAAACCCUUCUCUUGUCAGAAGACGCUGACAGGAACUGAACUGCUGCAAAUCACAAACCAAAAUUCACCUGCUGAAGUUGCAGUCAGCUGUUUUUACCUUAAAACGCAUCGGGCUCCAAACAGUAAUGUGUUCUCCAUCAGCAUACGACGUGAGUAAAUACUGUGAUAUGAACUAAUGUCAGAAGAAAUAAUGUAACAAUCAGAUCUGAUAAUUUAAAAAAGUAAAUUAUAUAA